CGGCAACAGCUCAAAUUUGAAAUCUGCCCGCAAGGGCCGAGUUGUAAUUUGUAGAGGAUGUUUUGGGUACCGCCACGGUUUAAUUUUCUUGGAACAGGAAGCCAAAGAGGGUGAGAGUCCCGUCUU
RNAcentral lists this ribosomal RNA (126 nucleotides) under Pseudocercospora arthrospora. Its description in RNAcentral is "Arthrophiala arthrospora partial large subunit ribosomal RNA". The record is from RNAcentral. Lineage: Eukaryota; Fungi; Ascomycota; Dothideomycetes; Mycosphaerellales; Mycosphaerellaceae.